This is a long non-coding RNA of Drosophila obscura, 529 nucleotides long. RefSeq lists it as uncharacterized. The record is from RefSeq and is a predicted model, not a curated record. Lineage: Eukaryota; Metazoa; Arthropoda; Insecta; Diptera; Drosophilidae. The transcript has 2 exons.
ACUGCGUUUGUGUGUGUGUUUGUGUCUGUGUUGCCAGCUAUUUUUAUCCGCCUCAAGUUGAGCCAGGGGCUGCCCGUGUUCCCUGCCUAUGAAUUCUUCUGCGACUGGGACUCCGAGUGCGACUGCUGGCUGUGCCAGUUCUGGCUCUUGUUUUCGCUUUCCACCAACUGAACUGCCUGCCGUUGGCCACUGUUGCUUCCAACGCACUUCAAGCUGCCGCGACGCUGACCUACUGAGCGUUAUUAGCCGGCUCACGGCUCGAGUUGCUUGGCCUGCGCGGCUGCCCCUGCUAGCCAAAUGGCGAUGGCGAUGGCGACUUGGCGUUGACGUUAGCUUCCCUUGGCUCAGUCAAGCGUUGAAAAUCGAUAAACAAAAAAAAAAUAAAGCGGCGGCGAAGAAGCAGGAAAGGAAGGAAAACUGCACUACAAUCUGUGUAGUGCAUUUAUUUAGCCUGGCUAAAGUCUCUCAAACUGUGAGGCCAAACAGGCGAAGAGGCAAACCACGAAACAUAAACAUCCAACAAACUGAA